AGUGAACGCUGGCGGUAGGCCUAACACAUGCAAGUCGAACGGCAGCACAGUAAGAGCUUGCUCUUACGGGUGGCGAGUGGCGGACGGGUGAGGAAUACAUCGGAAUCUACUUUUUCGUGGGGGAUAACGUAGGGAAACUUACGCUAAUACCGCAUACGACCUACGGGUGAAAGCAGGGGAUCUUCGGACCUUGCGCGAUUGAAUGAGCCGCUGUCGGAUUGGCUGGUUGGCGGGGUAAAGGCCCACCAAGGCGACGAUCCGUAGCUGGUCUGAGAGGAUGGUCAGCGACACUGGAACUGAGCCACGGACCUGACUCCUACGGGAGGCAGCAGUGGGGAAUAGUGGACAAUGGGCGCAAGCCUGAUCCAGCCGUACCGCGUGGGUGAAGAAGGCCUUCGGGUUGUAAAGCCCUUUUGUUGGGAAAGAAAAGCAUCAGGUUAAUACCCCGCUGUUCUGACGGUACCCAAAGAAUAAGCACCGGCUAACUUCGUG
RNAcentral lists this ribosomal RNA (492 nucleotides) under uncultured bacterium. Its description in RNAcentral is "partial 16S ribosomal RNA". It matches the Rfam family "Bacterial small subunit ribosomal RNA", at positions 29 to 507 of the family's 1533-position model. The record is from RNAcentral.